RNAcentral lists this ribosomal RNA (305 nucleotides) under uncultured bacterium. RNAcentral's name for it is "bacterial SSU rRNA". It matches the Rfam family "Bacterial small subunit ribosomal RNA", at positions 333 to 654 of the family's 1533-position model. The record is from RNAcentral.
UCGGUCCUACGGGAGGCAGCAGUGGGGAAUAUUGCACAAUGGGGGAAACCCUGAUGCAGCGACGCCGCGUGAGUGAAGAAGUAUUUCGGUAUGUAAAGCUCUAUCAGCAGGAACGAGACAAGACGGUACCUGACUAAGAAGCCCCGGCUAACUACGUGCCAGCAGCCGCGGUAAUACGUAGGUGGCAAGCGUUAUCCGGAUUUACUGGGUGUAAAGGGAGCGUAGACGGCGCGGCAAGUCUGAAGUGAAAGGCAGGGGCUUAACCCCUGAACUGCUUUGGAAACUGCCAUGCUAGAGUGCUGGAG